Molecule: ribosomal RNA, 407 nt
Filed under: uncultured bacterium
Lineage: Bacteria
Description: partial 16S ribosomal RNA
Rfam family: Bacterial small subunit ribosomal RNA
Source: RNAcentral
GACGAACGCUGGCGGCGUGCCUAAUACAUGCAAGUAGGACGCAGUUGCGAACGGGUGAGUAACGCGUAGGUAACUACCUAUUAGAGGGGGAUAACUAUUGGAAACGAUAGCUAAUACCGCAUACUAGUAGAUGGACCUGCGUUGUAUUAGCUAGUAGGUAGGGUAAUGGCCUACCUAGGCAACGAUACAUAGCCGACUUGUGAGGGUGAUCGGCCAACAUGGGACUGAGCAAAGGCCCAGACCCCGUCGGGAGGGAGAAGUAGGUAAUCUUCGGCAAUGGGGCGAAACCUUAACGAGCAACGCCGCGGGAGGGAAGAAGGUUUUCGGAUCGGAAAGCUCUGUUGUUAAGGAAGCGGUACUUAACCAGAAAGGGACGGCUAACUACGUGCCAGCAGCCGCGGUAAUUC